Molecule: unclassified non-coding RNA, 271 nt
Filed under: Hevea brasiliensis (rubber tree)
Lineage: Eukaryota; Viridiplantae; Streptophyta; Magnoliopsida; Malpighiales; Euphorbiaceae
Source: RNAcentral
UAUGUCUGGAGCAAGCAAAAUCCAUUUAUCCACAUGAGUUUCUUGGGCCUCUUUACUUUUACAGCAGCUUACCUACCAUGGGUUCUUUUGGGAUUCUCUGUCCUUGUUGGUGCUAGUGCUUGGGUGGAUCUACUGGGAAUGAUAGCUGGCCAUGCUUACUAUUUUCUUGAGGAUGUAUAUCCACGAAUGACCGGUCGUCGGCCCCUACAAACCCCAUCAUUUAUUAAAUCACUAUUUGCUGAUGAGGCAGUUGUAGUGGCCCGGCCUGCAA